RNAcentral lists this ribosomal RNA (1249 nucleotides) under uncultured bacterium. RNAcentral's name for it is "bacterial SSU rRNA". It matches the Rfam family "Bacterial small subunit ribosomal RNA", at positions 246 to 1482 of the family's 1533-position model. The record is from RNAcentral.
UUGUUGGUGAGGUAACGGCUCAGCAAGGCGACGAUCCGUAGCUGGUCUGACAGGAUGAUCAGCCACACUGGGACUGAGACACGGCCCAGACUUCUACGGGAGUGAGCAGUGGGGAAUAUUGGACAAUGCGCGCAAGCCUGAUCCAGCCAUGCCGCGUGUGUGAGGAAUGCCUUCGGGUUGUAAAGCACUUUCUGCGAGGAGGAAAGGAUGGUUGCUAAUAUCAGCCGCCUGUGACGUUACUCGCAGAACACGCACCGGCUAACUCCGUGCCAGCAGCCGCGGGAAUACGGAGGGUGCAUGCGUUAAUCGGAAUUACUGGGCGUAGAGCGUGCGUAUGCGGGCUUUUACGUUGGAUGUGAUAGCCCCGGGCUCUGCCUGGGAACGGCCUCCGAAACUGACAUGCUCGAGUGCGGAAGAUGACUGUGGAAUUUCCUGUGUAGCGAUGAAAUGCGUAUGAUUUAGGAAGACACCAGUGGCGAUGCGACACUCUGGUCUGACACUGACGCUGAGGUACGAAAGCGUGGUGGGGCAAACAGGAUUAGAUACCCCUGGUAGUCCACGCCGUAAACGAUGUCUACUAGUCGUCGGCGACAUCUAAGCAGUCCUAGGUAAUCGCAGCUAACGCGAUAAGUAGACCGCGGGGGGAGUACGGACGCAAGGUUAAAACUCAAAUGAAUUGACGGGGACCCGCACAAGCGCUGGAGCAUGUGGCUUAAUUUGAAGCAACGCGAAGAACCUUACCUGGCCUCGACAUCCUGCGAAUCCUCUAGAGAUAGGGGAGUUCCUUCGGGAACGCAGAGACAGGUGCUGCAUGGCAGUCGUCAGCUCGUGUUGUGAAAUGUUGCGUUACGUCCCGUAACGAGCGCAACCCCUGUCGUCAGUUACCAGCACGUUAUGGUGGCCACUCUAGGGAGACUGCCGGUGACAAACCGGAGGAAGGUGGGGAUGACGUCAAGUCAUCAUGGCCCUUACGGCCAGGGCUACACACGUGCUACAAUGGGGCGUACAAACGGUUGCGAAGCAGCAAUGUGAAGUUAAUCUGAGAAAACUCCUAGUAGUCCGGAUUGGGGUCUGCAACUCGACCCCAUGAAGUCGGAAUCGCUAGUAAUCGCAAAUCAGAAUGUUGCGGUGAAUACGUUCCCGGGCCUUGUACACACCGCCCGUCACACCAUGGGAGUGGGUUGCUCCAGAAGUAGUUAGUCUAACCCUCGGGAGGACGAUUACCACGGAGUGAUUCAUGACUGGGGUG